RNA transcript from Lytechinus pictus (painted urchin), 620 nucleotides. It is a transcript of the gene named small ribosomal subunit protein eS24-like, with no coding region annotated. The record is from RefSeq and is a predicted model, not a curated record. The transcript is spliced from 6 exons. NCBI's taxonomy places the organism in Eukaryota, Metazoa, Echinodermata, Echinoidea, Temnopleuroida, Toxopneustidae.
CUGGCCCUCUAUCGAACGGCAAAAGACAGUCUCUUUUCGGUCACUCAGAUUACCGUGAAAAUGGGGGAAGCUAUCACGAUCAGAACAAGGAAGUUUAUGACCAACCGCCUUCUCAACAGAAGGCAAAUGGUUGUUGAUGUGAUCCAUCCAGGCCAAGCCACCGUCAAGAAGACGGAGAUCCGCGAGCGCCUUGCUCAGGCCUACAAGACCACACCCGAUGUCAUCUUCGCCUUUGGCUUCAAGACCCAGUUUGGUGGCGGACGCACCUCAGGAUUUGCCCUCAUCUACGACACCCUGGACUUUGCCAAGAAAUACGAACCCAAAUACAGAUUAGCCAGACAUGGACUUUACGAGAAGCCCAAGACCUCGUCCAAGCAGAGGAAAGAAAGGAAGAACAGACAGAAGAAGGUCCGCGGAACCAAGAAGACGAAGGUGACGGCAGGCAAGAAGCGUUGAUCAUUUUAGAGUUUUGAAUAUGAUCACGGACUGUUCCUAUUCCACUUCAGUAAACUGGCAUUCCCCCUACACAUCAUGCAGCCGUAUUCUGAGAUCGACACUACUCACCACACAUCACUCAAAAUCAAUGUGUAACUGUUAAUAAAUGGAUUAACUAGCAGGAA